GAUGAACGCUGGCGGCGUGCCUAAUACAUGCAAGUCGAGCGAACAGACGAGGAGCUUGCUCCUCUGACGUUAGCGGCGGACGGGUGAGUAACACGUGGAUAACCUACCUAUAAGACUGGGAUAACUUCGGGAAACCGGAGCUAAUACCGGAUAAUAUAUUGAACCGCAUGGUUCAAUAGUGAAAGACGGUUUUGCUGUCACUUAUAGAUGGAUCCGCGCCGCAUUAGCUAGUUGGUAAGGUAACGGCUUACCAAGGCAACGAUGCGUAGCCGACCUGAGAGGGUGAACGGCCACACUGGAACUGAGACACGGUCCAGACUCCGACGGGAGGCAGCAGUAGGGAAUCUUCCGCAAUGGGCGAAAGCUUGACGGAGCAACGCCGCGUGAGUGAUGAAGGUCUUCGGAUCGUAAGACUCUGUUAUUAGGGAAGAACAAAUGUGUAAGUAACUAUGCACGUCUUGACGGUACCUAAUCAGAAAGCCACGGCUAACUACGUG
This 497-nucleotide ribosomal RNA is filed under the name uncultured bacterium. Its description in RNAcentral is "partial 16S ribosomal RNA". It matches the Rfam family "Bacterial small subunit ribosomal RNA", at positions 28 to 507 of the family's 1533-position model. The record is from RNAcentral.